GAUGAACGCUAGCUACAGGCUUAACACAUGCAAGUCGAGGGGAAACGACAUCGAAAGCUUGCUUUUUCUAGGCGUCGACCGGCGCACGGGUGAGUAACGCGUAUCCAACCUGCCCACCACUUGGGGAUAACCUUGCGAAAGUAAGACUAAUACCCAAUGAUAUCCCACGAAGGCAUCCGAAUGGGAUUAAAGAUUUAUCGGUGAUGGAUGGGGAUGCGUCUGAUUAGCUUGUUGGCGGGGUAACGGCCCACCAAGGCUACGAUCAGUAGGGGUUCUGAGACGGAAGGUCCCCCCACAUUGGAACCUGAGACACGGUCCAAACUCCUACGGGAGGCAGCAGU
This 341-nucleotide ribosomal RNA is filed under the name uncultured bacterium. RNAcentral describes it as "bacterial SSU rRNA". It matches the Rfam family "Bacterial small subunit ribosomal RNA", at positions 28 to 355 of the family's 1533-position model. The record is from RNAcentral.